GGACUCGUAGCCUAGCCUGGUGGUUUUUUUCUUUAUAAUAACCAUGUAAAUAGGGCGUCAGACUUCUAAUCUGAAUGUCGCAGGUUCGAAUCCUGCCGAGUCCG
RNAcentral lists this transfer RNA (104 nucleotides) under Promethearchaeota archaeon. RNAcentral's name for it is "Candidatus Lokiarchaeota archaeon (permafrost metagenome) tRNA-Arg". It matches the Rfam family "tRNA". Rfam says of the family: Transfer RNA (tRNA) molecules are approximately 80 nucleotides in length. Their secondary structure includes four short double-helical elements and three loops (D, anti-codon, and T loops). Further hydrogen bonds mediate the characteristic L-shaped molecular structure. tRNAs have two regions of fundamental functional importance: the anti-codon, which is responsible for specific mRNA codon recognition, and the 3' end, to which the tRNAs corresponding amino acid is attached (by aminoacyl-tRNA synthetases). tRNAs cope with the degeneracy of the genetic code in two manners: having more than one tRNA (with a specific anti-codon) for a particular amino acid; and 'wobble' base-pairing, i.e. permitting non-standard base-pairing at the 3rd anti-codon position. The record is from RNAcentral. Lineage: Archaea; Promethearchaeati; Promethearchaeota.